CACGUAGGCUGUUGUGUAAGUCAGGGGUGAAAUCCCACGGCUCAACCGUGGAACUGCCCUUGAUACUGCAUGACUGGAAUCCGGGAGAGGGUGGCGGAAUUCCAGGUGUAGGAGUGAAAUCCGUAGAUAUCUGGAGGAACAUCAGUGGCGAAGGCGGCCACCUGGACCGGUAUUGACGCUGAGGUGCGAAAGCGUGGGGAGCAAACAGGAUUAGAUACCCCAGUA
Molecule: ribosomal RNA, 225 nt
Filed under: uncultured Desulfovibrio sp.
Lineage: Bacteria; Pseudomonadati; Thermodesulfobacteriota; Desulfovibrionia; Desulfovibrionales; Desulfovibrionaceae
Description: partial 16S ribosomal RNA
Rfam family: Bacterial small subunit ribosomal RNA
Source: RNAcentral